Long non-coding RNA from Aethalodelphis obliquidens (Pacific white-sided dolphin), 2313 nucleotides. RefSeq lists it as uncharacterized. The transcript has 3 exons. Lineage: Eukaryota; Metazoa; Chordata; Mammalia; Artiodactyla; Delphinidae. The record is from RefSeq and is a predicted model, not a curated record.
AAACGUGUCUUCUUAGAAUCAUUCCUGCUCCUAUGAGUAUUCAUUAUGUCCAUUUCUUUUUCUGAAAAACAUAUUUUGAACCACAAAACAUGGUGCCUAUGGCUUGGAUCCAAGAGUCUCAAAAUGCGCUAAAGGCUCAGACUGGGGGCUCGACUCUUCCAGCUUUUACUCCUACUGGCUUGUAACCCUGGAAGGGUGGAUUAACCUCUCUGAGCCACAAACACGAAAAGAUGAGAUUGGUCUAAAAUCUCUUCCAGCAUCAAGGCUUCUGCUCCUUGAGUGUCAUAUAAGUCAGGGCCGGGUUCUCUCUGUUGCAAAUGAUGACCUUAAAGCUAAUGGAUGUAAUUAUCUUGGCACACAAAGAAUCCUUAAAUCUCAGUUGGCCAAACACCGGAACAACCAGUUUUUAAAAACGCCUCGAUAAGAUUAUGUUGGUUCAAGGGAUACAGAGCCAGGCUGUGCUUUUCAGGUCGACCACCUCCCUCAGGGCCAAGUCCGGACAUUUUUGGUUUUCACAGCCGGUGGGGGUGGGGCGGAGGUGCCAUGGGCAUCUAGUGGGUUGGGGCCGGAGAUGAUGCUACACGCCCUACGAUGAUGCAUUGGGCGGAGCUCUCAACAGAGAAGUGUCAGCCAUGGGGGGGCCGGGGGAGAAAGUGCCCCAGUUACAAACUGAAACCCUGCAGAGAGGCCCCCAAACUAGUCGGUCCAGUUCCAUCUCUUGGGUUGGUACCAGAUGGUAUUCAGGUGACCUGGAGGGUCAAGUGCAACUUUGAGAAAUGCUUAAUUCAUAUCCACAGAGUGAUUAAUACCCUUGAUCUUUCACCUCGGUUAUUAUCUUAGAAACAAAUGUACAGGCUCAAAAUUCGCCCUCCCUUCCCCCACCCUCCAAACACAGCACAAUGUGAUACACAGAUCAAAUACAUAGGCAUAUAACGGAAAAUGGAAUUUAGUGUUUUCAAAAUGUCGCGUAGAAUGUUGUAAGGUAGGCAGAUUCAAAAAGCCACACACUGAGAUGGGACAUUUGCAAAAUCGCCAAACGACGAAAACCUGGUUUCCAGUUUCCCUCCCUGGGAACUGCCCUGUCUGAUGCAGAGACAAGGAUGUGAGACUUCGGAUCAGCUGACCAGAAACCAUCAACGGCAAUUAGGAAAUACACUCCCGAUUCUGAGGUCUUUCUCUCUUGUUAAAGUCACUGAACCAAAGUCAUCGUGAAGGAGCCAGGUCCCAAGGCUCUCCAGCUCACCAUGGACUGAGGGCCACCGAUAACCAGACAAUCACUUCUUCUCACGACGCCGUCUGCUCAGUAAGACCAGGGCAGAGCCACUCUGGUCUUAAUAAUUACUUGGUAGGCGUGAGGCAUGUUACAAGCAAGGUCUGAGUCAUUCUGCACAAGAGUCACCCAGCACGAGGACCACAGGACGCCCAUACGUCACACCUGGGCCGUGGUCACACCUGGCGUGGGGCAGGGUGGCCUGGCACCACAUCCAAACCCGAGCCCAGCUGGCAAACCUGUUUAGUGUAAGUCAUCUGAAGGUAAAGAGAGGCAGCAAGACUUAGGACGAAGCCUUCAGUGGGUCCAACAGGAGAUGGUCUCGCCUUCACCAGGGAGAAGAUGCCAUCGAUGAACCUGGAAGGGGGUCUGUCUGUCCUCACCAGACACGGGAUCUGGACGUCCAGCCUCCAGAAUGGAGAGCUUUGGCGCUCACAGGUCACGGCUGCACUUCGCUCCCUGUGCCGGGGUGUCAGAGGUCCCCGCCGCCGGCCCGGCCCCCGUCUCCGCACCUUCUCCCGUGACGUGACCCCUCCCCUGUGCCACAACCAUCCCUACGACUCUCCAUCUUCCCGAACUGCCUUUCUGCCCCAGUGAAACACUCACGCCCACGCCUCUCCCCGCCAGCCCCUGGCAAACCCAGGAUUUUCGAGUAUUUCUGCGCAGCUCAUGUCUGUGACCAAACUGCUGGGGCGCCAGCCCUCCACACGCCCCCGGCCGGAAGCGCCAGCACAAGCACUGAGUGAGGCUUCUCCGCCCCCGCGUGCCGCCCCGGACCCCAGGGUGGGCGGAGCUGGGCGCACCCCAGGCGGGGAGGGACAGGCUGCAGGGACGCAGGGACCAUACCCAGCGCCCGCUCAGCUGGGGGGAAUGGGGUGGGAGGGGGAGGGGGAAGGAGGAGAAGGGAAGCAUAGUUAACUGGGACCCCCCUCUUGCCCUGCCUCCCCCCUCAAGUACCUUCUGGCGCCUGAUACGUUUCUCCCUGCCUUUGGUGUCCUGCGGUCUGACUGAGGUCACCCAGGUGCGACUUGUAUUUACCCGUC